GAUGAACGCUAGCGGCAGGCUUAACACAUGCAAGUCGAGGGGUAUUGGUUUUCGGACCAAGAGACCGGCGCACGGGUGCGUAACGCGUAUGCAAUCUACCUUUUGCAGAGGGAUAGCCCCAGAGAAAUUUGGAUUAAUACCUCAUAGUAUAGUACUUUGGCAUCAAGGAACUAUUAAAGUCACAACGGCAAAGAUGAGCAUGCGUCCCAUUAGCUAGUUGGUAAGGUAACGGCUUACCAAGGCUACGAUGGGUAGGGGUCCUGAGAGGGAGAUCCCCCACCACUGGUACUGAGACACGGACCAGACUCCUACGGGAGGCAGCAGUGAGGAAUAUUGGAC
RNAcentral lists this ribosomal RNA (339 nucleotides) under uncultured bacterium. RNAcentral's name for it is "bacterial SSU rRNA". It matches the Rfam family "Bacterial small subunit ribosomal RNA", at positions 28 to 369 of the family's 1533-position model. The record is from RNAcentral.